CAGAGAUUUUCGGGCCAUUUAUAUCCUUACGCACGUUAUCUUUAUUUAUCUGUAGAGAGUUGGAUUCUGACCUUGUAUUCUCUAUAGAGAGACUUUGAUCUUAGUCUAUACCAUAAACUUAGUGUUAGUCUUGUAUCCUUGAGAGAGACUUUGAUUCUAUACAUUACUUUCAGGUUUAUAUAUGGCAUAGAGGCUCGGGUGAACUUGUUGGGACAUUG
RNAcentral lists this long non-coding RNA (218 nucleotides) under Nicotiana benthamiana. RNAcentral's name for it is "long non-coding RNA (NBEN_LNC002326)". Lineage: Eukaryota; Viridiplantae; Streptophyta; Magnoliopsida; Solanales; Solanaceae. The record is from RNAcentral.